GGUUAAGCGACUAAGCGUACACGGUGGAUGCCUAGGCAGUCAGAGGCGAUGAAGGACGUGCUAAUCUGCGAUAAGCGUCGGUAAGGUGAUAUGAACCGUUACAGCCGACGAUUUCCGAAUGGGGAAACCCAGUGCAAUCCGUUGCACUAUCGUUAAGUGAAUACAUAGCUUAACGAAGCGAACCAGGGGAACUGAAACAUCUAAGUACCCUGAGGAAAAGAAAUCAACCGAGAUUCCCCCAGUAGCGGCGAGCGAACGGGGAGCAGCCCAGAGUCUGAAUCAGCAUGUGUGUCAGUGGAAGCGUCUGGAAAGUCGCAGGGUACAGGGUGAUACUCCCGUACACGAAGAUGCAUGUGCUGUGAACUCGAAGAGUAGGGCGGGACACGUGGUAUCCUGUCUGAAUAUGGGGGGACCAUCCUCCAAGGCUAAAUACUCCUGACUGACCGAUAGUGAACCAGUACCGUGAGGGAAAGGCGAAAAG
This 481-nucleotide ribosomal RNA is filed under the name Leclercia tamurae. Its description in RNAcentral is "partial 23S ribosomal RNA". It matches the Rfam family "Bacterial large subunit ribosomal RNA", at positions 1 to 521 of the family's 2925-position model. The record is from RNAcentral. Lineage: Bacteria; Pseudomonadati; Pseudomonadota; Gammaproteobacteria; Enterobacterales; Enterobacteriaceae.